RNAcentral lists this ribosomal RNA (1254 nucleotides) under Triticum aestivum (bread wheat). RNAcentral describes it as "partial small subunit ribosomal RNA". The record is from RNAcentral. Lineage: Eukaryota; Viridiplantae; Streptophyta; Magnoliopsida; Poales; Poaceae.
AUGCCGCCGGCCCCCACAGCCGCCGCCUCGGCGGCUCUCCGCCGCGAGGACCUCCUCCGCGUCGCCGCCCCGCUCCGGUCCCUGCUCGCCGCGGCGCCCUACGCGCCCCCCGAGGGCUCCGACACCUCCGUGAAAUCCCUCCUCGCCUCACUCCUCCCGUCCCCCUCUGAACCCCCGACGGGCGGGGCCGGCAAGGAGGCCGUGGACCUGCUCCUCUUCUGCGCCGCCGCCCGCGCGGCCUCCGCGGAGGCCCCCGCGCUGCACUGGGUCCCGGAGGGGCUCUCCAAGGCGGCCGCCGCCGCGAUGGAGGAGAUGGCGGCGAUGGGCGGGUGGGCCGGCGUCGCGGAGAUGGUGGUGGCCAUGAUGCCGGAGGCAGUGCCGCCGCUGAAGGCCGUGCUGAAGGAUACAGGCGUGGACGCCAAUGAUGACAUGAUGAUGAUCGGCGCCGUGAAGCCGCCCAAGGAGCACGCCUUUGUCGCCGCGCACCAGUUCCGGUGGCUGUUGUCCCAGGUUAAUUACCCCAAGCUUGGCGAUCUGUGCUGGUUAGUCAUUCCAUGUGCUGAUCAUUGGUCACCGGACGUUAAGGAACAAGGAAUGAUUAGCUUCAUGCACAUAGCAAAGAAUGUGAAAGUAACAGAAUUAAGUUUGUAUGAAGAUGCAAUACUUGAUGCGUGUUGCCAAAACAUUCCUGCAGAUGAUGAGUUAUGGUAUCGCGUUGUUGAGGUAUCAGUGCUGCUCUUGACUGCACAGAGAAGUAAUCCACGUAGCCCUUGGUACGACCGCGUACUUUCUGAGAUGUUGGGACACCUGGAACGGCAACCACUAAACAAAGAACGUCGUGGUGCAUGGCUUACCCUUAUCGGACCAGUUUCGGAUGCUAUGGGCCUCUUCCUAUUGGCACAUUUUCGUCUCCUGUUCUCUCUAUUUUUCCAAUGGAUGCAUGCUGAUGAUGAUAGAACAGUUCUUUUGGUGUUAGAGCGAAUUCAUACAGUUAUUAAGCUCACCUGGAUCAGGAAGUCACCCUACACUUCAAGACUGGUGGAUGAGCUUGUUCUCUUGUAUAAGGAGUCAGCCACGAGAAAGAGCCAUGAGAUCAUGCGAAAUCACAUAGUGGAAAUACUCGUGUUACUCCAGAAGUGCAAGGGGCAGCAGUUUGAGGAAGCUUGGAAGAAGCAUGAAGCUGACCCAGAUUUAACAUUGCUGCUAUCCCGUUUCAAACAACUUUGCACCAGAGAUCAUUCGCCAGAAUUCUGA